RNAcentral lists this ribosomal RNA (324 nucleotides) under uncultured Verrucomicrobiota bacterium. RNAcentral's name for it is "bacterial SSU rRNA". It matches the Rfam family "Bacterial small subunit ribosomal RNA", at positions 29 to 351 of the family's 1533-position model. The record is from RNAcentral. Lineage: Bacteria; Pseudomonadati; Verrucomicrobiota.
AGUGAACGCUGGCGGCGUGGCUAAGACAUGCAAGUCGAGCGAUAGAUUCCUUCGGGAAUCGAAAAGCGGCAAACGGGUGCGUAACACGUGAGCAACCUGCCCUAAAGUUGGGGAUAGCCCACCGAAAGGUGGAAUAAUACCGAAUGUGGUCCUUCUUCGCAUGAAGAAGGUACUAAAGCUUGUAACGGCGCUUUAGGAGGGGCUCGCGGCCUAUCAGCUUGUUGGUGAGGUAAAGGCUCACCAAGGCUAAGACGGGUAGCUGGUCUGAGAGGAUGAUCAGCCACACUGGAACUGAGAUACGGUCCAGACACCUACGGGAGGCUG